AUACUUAUAUUUUAAUAAAAAUAUUGAUUUUGUAAAUCAAAUAUUAAGAUCUUCAUCUUUAAGUAUA
RNAcentral lists this transfer RNA (67 nucleotides) under Achatinella mustelina. Its description in RNAcentral is "tRNA-Thr". The record is from RNAcentral. Lineage: Eukaryota; Metazoa; Mollusca; Gastropoda; Stylommatophora; Achatinellidae.